RNAcentral lists this long non-coding RNA (874 nucleotides) under Homo sapiens (human). RNAcentral describes it as "long intergenic non-protein coding RNA 1801". The record is from RNAcentral. Lineage: Eukaryota; Metazoa; Chordata; Mammalia; Primates; Hominidae.
CCACCCAGUUCGAGCUUCCUGGCUGCUUUGUUUACCUAAUCAAGCCUGGGCAAUGGCGGGCGCCCCUCCCCCAGCCUCGCUGCCGCCUUGCAGUUUGAUCUCAGACUGCUGUGCUAGCAAUCAGCGAGACUCCGUGGGCGUAGGACCCUCCGAGCCAGGUGCGGGAUAUAUUCUCGUGGUGCGCCGUUUUUUAAGCCCGUCGGAAAGGCGCAGUAUUUGGGUAGGAGUGACCCGAUUUUCCAGUGAGAUGAACCCGGUACCUCAGCUGGAAAUGCAGAAAUCACCCGUCUUCUGCGUCGCUCACGCUGGGAGCUGUAGACUGGAGCUGUAGACAGGAGCUGUUCCUAUUCGGGCAUCUUGGCUCCUCCUUGAAAACAAGCCCUGGAAAAACAAAGAAUGGAACACCCCUCCGCUGACUUCAACCAACUGCCUGCUGAUGCGGCCUGACUCCCAGCCCUUUUUGCAGUUUUGAAGUGACAAACUGACUAGGCUACAAAGUAUUCAACCAUGGGCUGGUUCUGGCUGGUUCACCGAGGCUGUGUACAAAGUGUCUUCAUGUCCUGUGUUUCACCUUUUAACAUACAGAACCUAAUUUUACUGCAUUUUAAUGUUAAUUCUCCACUCGAAGGUGAACAUGGGAUGUAUGUAACACAUAUGUUUGCUUAUCAAGCACACAUAUGACCCCCUUUCAUGAAUAUUCAUAGUUCCCCCUGUGACCUGUUGAAUAUGUCUGUUUAGCCAACCUGUUUGGCAUAAAACUCCUAUCCCACCCUAUCUCCCUCAAAGUACCUGUUUGUGGUCUCAGCUGGAGGUGCCACUUCCCAGCCUGCAGUUUGCAACCCUUCUCAAGAAAUAAAGUCUUCCUUUCCAAGUU